AGAGUUUGAUCCUGGCUCAGGAUGAACGCUGGCGGCGUGCCUAAUACAUGCAAGUCGAACGCUUCACUUCGGUGAAGAGUGGCGAACGGGUGAGUAAUACAUAAGUAACCUGGCAUCUACAGGGGGAUAACUGAUGGAAACGUCAGCUAAGACCGCAUAGGUGUAGAGAUCGCAUGAACUCUAUAUGAAAAGUGCUACGGGACUGGUAGAUGAUGGACUUAUGGCGCAUUAGCUUGUUGGUAGGGUAACGGCCUACCAAGGCGACGAUGCGUAGCCGACCUGAGAGGGUGACCGGCCACACUGGGACUGAGACACGGCCCAGACUCCUACGGGAGGCAGCAGUAGGGAAUUUUCGGCAAUGGGGAAACCCUGACCGAGCAACGCCGCGUGAAGGAAGAAGUAAUUCGUUAUGUAAACUUCUGUCAUAGAGGAAGAACGGCGGAUAUAGGGAAUGAUAUCCAAGUGACGGUACUCUAUAAGAAAGCCACGGCUAACUACGUGCCAGCAGCCGCGGUAAUACGUAGGUGGCGAGCGUUAUCCGGAAUUAUUGGGCGUAAAGAGGGAGCAGGCGGCACUAAGGGUCUGUGGUGAAAGAUCGAAGCUUAACUUCGGUAAGCCAUGGAAACCGUAGAGCUAGAGUGUGUGAGAGGAUCGUGGAAUUCCAUGUGUAGCGGUGAAAUGCGUAGAUAUAUGGAGGAACACCAGUGGCGAAGGCGACGAUCUGGCGCAUAACUGACGCUCAGUCCCGAAAGCGUGGGGAGCAAAUAGGAUUAGAUACCCUAGUAGUCCACGCCGUAAACGAUGAGUACUAAGUGUUGGGUGUCAAAGCUCAGUGCUGCAGUUAACGCAAUAAGUACUCCGCCUGAGUAGUACGUUCGCAAGAAUGAAACUCAAAGGAAUUGACGGGGGCCCGCACAAGCGGUGGAGCAUGUGGUUUAAUUCGAAGCAACGCGAAGAACCUUACCAGGUCUUGACAUCGAUCUAAAGGCUCCAGAGAUGGAGAGAUAGCUAUAGAGAAGACAGGUGGUGCAUGGUUGUCGUCAGCUCGUGUCGUGAGAUGUUGGGUCAAGUCCCGCAACGAGCGCAACCCCUGUUGCCAGUUGCCAGCAUUAAGUUGGGGACUCUGGCGAGACUGCCGGUGACAAGCCGGAGGAAGGCGGGGAUGACGUCAAAUCAUCAUGCCCCUUAUGACCUGGGCUACACACGUGCUACAAUGGACAGAGCAGAGGGAAGCGAAGCCGCGAGGUGGAGCGAUACCCAUAAAACUGUUCUCAGUUCGGACUGCAGUCUGCAACUCGACUGCACGAAGAUGGAAUCGCUAGUAAUCGCGAAUCAGCAUGUCGCGGUGAAUACGUUCUCGGGCCUUGUACACACCGCCCGUCACACCAUGAGAGUCGGUAACACCCGAAGCCGGUGGCCUAACCGCAAGGAAGGAGCUGUCUAAGGUGGGACUGAUGAUUGGGGUGAAGUCGUAACAAGGUA
Molecule: ribosomal RNA, 1482 nt
Filed under: metagenome
Description: bacterial SSU rRNA
Rfam family: Bacterial small subunit ribosomal RNA
Source: RNAcentral